GGUGAAAGUCUCUUCUGGACACGCUCUGUCAGCCAACUUCGACAGCUGAAAACUGCCACUUCUGCAGUUAAUAUCACCACGACUUUUUCAUGAAAGUUGUUCGAAAUUUCGUCCUCUAUACUGUGCUCGAAAAUCAUGAUAAUCCAACGGUUAAUUAGUUCUCAAUCAAGUCCUCUUUCAAAUUCAGUUUCUACUCAGAUUGGGUCAUGUUUCUCCAUCGACAUUGAGUUAAUUUCAUGAAGUUUACAUAUCCAUCUUGAGUUCACACACAAUUGAUUUUACAAUUGUUGGUCUUGCAGGUACUGUGCACGAGGAUU
Molecule: long non-coding RNA, 317 nt
Filed under: Rosa chinensis
Lineage: Eukaryota; Viridiplantae; Streptophyta; Magnoliopsida; Rosales; Rosaceae
Description: sRNA RchiOBHm_Chr5g0054181
Source: RNAcentral